GCGAAUAUGGUGUAGCGGUAGCAUGAGAGCCUUCCAAGCUCUGGGGACGAGUUCAAAUCUCGUUAUUCGCU
Molecule: transfer RNA, 71 nt
Filed under: Oxynema mangrovii CENA135
Lineage: Bacteria; Bacillati; Cyanobacteriota; Cyanophyceae; Oscillatoriales; Oscillatoriaceae
Also listed under: 2 other names
Description: tRNA-Gly
Rfam family: tRNA
About the family: Transfer RNA (tRNA) molecules are approximately 80 nucleotides in length. Their secondary structure includes four short double-helical elements and three loops (D, anti-codon, and T loops).
Source: RNAcentral